This is a non-coding RNA of Microcebus murinus (gray mouse lemur), 3438 nucleotides long. The record is from RefSeq and is a predicted model, not a curated record. Lineage: Eukaryota; Metazoa; Chordata; Mammalia; Primates; Cheirogaleidae.
GGUAAGCUAUUAGGAGUUACAUUUGGGGCACUUGAGCAUUAUUUGUGGAUUUUCGACUGUGCCGGGGGUCGGCGCCCCUCACCCCUGCAUUGUACACAUGUCUACGAAGACUUUUAGGGAAGACUCUGGAGCAACUGCUAACGCCAGCUGCCUCCUCGGGGCGGAGCUGAGGAACUAGAAGUGAGGUGUGGGAGGGAGGCUUUCACCGUAGGUCCUUUGCUUUUGAAGUUCGAACUGUUAACCUGUGUGGAAGUUUUGCCUAUCUGAAAAGAAGUGCUUAUAAAUAGGUAAGUAUUCGAAGUGGGUAGAAUUUUUAUGGAUGUGGACAUUGGCGGGUAAGGGUGACCCAGAGGGAGGGAAGAGCUAGAGCAAAGGUGUGCAGGAGAGAAAGCUGGCAGCAGAGUCCCGCGUGCCUGGUGGCAGUGAGAGCACCUCGCACACCCUGGCUCAGGUCUCAUCAGGCCUCAGUGCUGCACUCCCACCGGCAGGGCACCUCACUCUCAAGGUCCAGGUACGAGCGCUCUCUGGACCGGCCUGUGCACCCAGCCCACAGGGAGGUCCUUUCUGCUGCCAGCCAGUGCUGGGGUACUUUACUCCCUGUCAUUUAAACCUUGCUCCAAUCCCGAGCAGGAGAUCUUAGGGAUGACCUCUACUGGACAGGGAAGGGGAAUGAAGCUCAGAGAGGUUAAGUAACUUACUCAAGGUCACAGAGCCAUUAAGUAGCCUAGCUGGACCUACAGCUGUGUAUUCUUUCCAGAAUUCUACAAGAUCAGGGUGGGGAGAGGGAGGCUGGAAAGAGUUAAGCACCCAAGAGUAAGCGACCAGGCUCUUCCCUGGCCUUUUCCUGGCCAGCCCCUCCCCCUUCCAUCCAGGUUGUUGUCUGGCCUAGGCCCCAUCCACGACCCCCACCGGCCCCGGCCGAGGGCAGGAAGGGGGCACAGAUGGCAGGCGAGCACAGGCCCGCAGCCAGGCUCACCCAGCUGUCACUUUGGAGAGCACCAUGCAUCUCAUCGUCCUCCUCCCCCCUUGAACACUUGGGAGCUGGCCAGCUGGCCCCAGCUGUUCCUUCUCCCUGGUCCAGGGCUCCCACAGACCCAAGCCUCUGGGGUCUUUGUCUCCAGGGAGGAGAAACACAGAGUCCCAGAAUGUCAGAGCUGGCAGGGCCUCGGAGGACAACAGGCCCAACAGCUCAUUUUCCAGAUGGGGAAACUGAGGCCCAGAAAGGCAAAGGGACUUGCCUAAGGUUACAAACAACGGGGCACCGAAGUCAGGUGAAGCUUAGCAUUGAAAUGAAGCUUAGGUUUCUGGGGGCACCCCGCAGGGGUGGGGGUGCUCAGGCUGGCUGCUGUGCCCCCUCCCCACCAACCUUCAGCCAGAGCAGCUCUGCUCGCCUGAUUUUAUACAAUGACAUUGUCCUCUGACUUUCUUUCCAGGGUCUUUAACCUGAGUGGGUCCACAGGCCCCUUCAGGAGGUGCGUGAGUUUGGGUAGGAAAAAAAAUUGAGUCUAUAUUUUCACUAGCCUCUAACUGAAAUUUCACAUUUUCUUUGUAAACGUAGGCAACGAACCCCAACAGGCUUAGCUGAACCUACGAUGUUUUCACCAAUAGACAUCACAGAUAUUUGCAGAUCACAUCUGCUACUGCUGUCUCAAAACGUUAUCUGGGCUCAUCGUUCUGUGGAAUCAGAGUAGUUAUGGGCCUGAUACUUGAUCAUACUGCUUAAUGUAUUAAUAUAAAAGCACUACACUGCUAUGUCACAAUUCUACUACACAUUUGGAUAAUUGUAUUUCAGUAUAGUUGUGUCCUUUUGUAAGCCUAUAUAUUUUAUUUUAUGUAUUUAAAAUUUUUAUUCUCCCAUCCAAGUACUAACCAAGCCCAACCCUGCUUAGCUUCCGAGAUCAGACAAGAUUGGGCGCGUUCAGGGUGGUGUGACCAUAGACCAAAAAUUUUAUUCUGUGAGGGGGACCGUGGGGCUUUUCUAGACUGCCAAAGAGGUCUGACUGCCUGGCUCCCCAAAAAGUUAAGAACAUGCUGCAUUUGAACAAAAGUUUCCAGUGUUAAAAACUCAAGCUUGAAAACGUUUGUACUGUGUCCGUGACAUCACAGACUUGGGGCAGAAUUGCCAUGAGAUGAACGCACGAGUCCGGGUGGGGCUGGUGCUCUAGGAGGGGAGGGGUGCACCAGGACCCGGGAGGUCAGGCUCACCCCAGCAGACGUGCAGUAGGAGGCUGGCUCUGUGCCAGGCGCAUGGCCCCUCACCGAACCCUCGGAACAGCCAUGGAGUCAGGACUAGCGUUCCUCCUAUUUUGCAGGUGAGAAAACUGAGGCGCAGACCAGUUAGGUAACUUGCCCACAGCACAUGGACAGUAAAUCCUGGAGCGGGGAUUUGAACCCAGGCCAGCUGAUGCAGACCCUGCACAACUAAUCACCGGACACACUGCCUCCCUGUCUGGGUAGAUGGAAGCUGCUCACAGAAAGUCCCUCAGGUGUCGCUGCUGCCCGGUGCUUCUCUUGGUGGGGGUAGCGGGUGGGGGAAUGGAAUCCCGGAGGGUUUGCUGCCUGGAUCAGUCAUCUGACACAUGAGACACUAACAAGCUGUGCAACCUUGACCAAGUCUCUUGCCCUCUCUGGGCCUCAUCUAUAAACUGCAGUGUUCUAAGCACCCAGCCCCACACCUUCCACCCUGCCCAUGUUCACCUGACGACCCACUUGGAAACUCAGGCGCAGGUUGCUUAGCAACUAAAAUCAAGGUCUUGGGUGAGUGGAAUGGAAAGGGGAAGGACAGACGAGAAGUGCGGUGCCUGACGCUGAUGCCACAGAGCCGUGUCUUGUGGGAGCUCACGUCAUGUGUUACUCUGGGAGGAAGCAGCAACGUAGGUAACAGAGGGCUCAUGCUCGCGGUCGAUAAGGACAUCCUCUGACCAGGAGGGCAGCAGAAAUGCUGCACACAUCGUGUACUCAUGUCACAUGAAAACUCCUUGAAGUGAGAAAACAAGAGCAAUCAACUGGUCAUGUGAGUCAUCACUAGCAGUCCGUGAUUAGUCAGGUUAAACAAAAGGUAUGCAGAGUGUGAACAAAUACCGUUGGAGAAAGUGCAUAUCAAAUACAAGCACACGCAUACCACACGCACCUGUAUAGAGAGAGACUCAUACUCGGCAAAGAGUACUUUUUUUCCCGGCCGUCCAGGAAGUGUUUACAAAAUCGGAUCAUAAUCUAGACCAGUGUGACCGACAGUAACUCUCUGUUGCUGUUACAGAAAUUGAGAGGAAGAGUUUAGGAACUUUUAAGCAAUUUGACAGAGAAAUUUUAUUUCUGUUGAAAAUAAUAAAAAUUGAGGUUUGUACAAAAAGUCAAGAGCUACAAAAUGCUGCAAACAUUUUUUGGUAUACACUUGAGCAUGCUUCUGUAGGAUGGAGGCCUAAAGUGGAACUGCCGGGC